RNAcentral lists this transfer RNA (73 nucleotides) under Camelus bactrianus (Bactrian camel). It matches the Rfam family "tRNA". Rfam says of the family: Transfer RNA (tRNA) molecules are approximately 80 nucleotides in length. Their secondary structure includes four short double-helical elements and three loops (D, anti-codon, and T loops). RNAcentral also lists the same sequence under 2 other names. Lineage: Eukaryota; Metazoa; Chordata; Mammalia; Artiodactyla; Camelidae. The record is from Rfam by way of RNAcentral.
GAGGGUAUAGCUCAAGUGGUAGAGCACAUGCUUAGCAUGCAUGAGGUCCUGGGUUCAAUCCCGAGUACCGCCU